RNAcentral lists this ribosomal RNA (380 nucleotides) under uncultured Leptolinea sp. Its description in RNAcentral is "bacterial SSU rRNA". It matches the Rfam family "Bacterial small subunit ribosomal RNA", at positions 986 to 1382 of the family's 1533-position model. The record is from RNAcentral. Lineage: Bacteria; Bacillati; Chloroflexota; Anaerolineae; Anaerolineales; Anaerolineaceae.
AUGCAAGUGUAGGAAUCCGAAAGGUGACCGACCUUCGGGAGCUUGCACAGGUGCUGCAUGGCUGUCGUCAGCUCGUGUCGUGAGAUGUUCGGUUAAGUCCGCUAACGAGCGCAACCCUCGUCGUGUGUUAUACGUGUCACACGAUACUGCCGGUAUCAAGCCGGAGGAAGGUGGGGAUGAUGUCAAGUCAGCAUGGCCUUUAUAUCCUGGGCUACACACACGCUACAAUGGCAGAUACAAUAGGUUGCGAAACCGCGAGGUGGAGCCAAUCCUCAAAGUCUGUCUCAGUUCAGAUUGUAGGCUGCAACUCGCCUGCAUGAAGUUGGAGUUGCUAGUAAACGCAGGUCAGCCAUACUGCGUUGAAUACGUUCCCGGGGCUU